GAUGAACGCUGACAGAAUGCUUAACACAUCAGCAAUUGAUUGGUGGCGGACGCGUGAGUAACGCGUAAAGAACUUACCUCACAGUUAGGGACAACAUUUGGAAACGAAUGCUAAUACCUAAUACUGUGGGAGAUCUUUGCGUCCCAUUAGCUAGUUGGAGAGGUACCGGCUCACACAGGCGAUGAUGGGUAGCCGGCCUGAGAGGGUGAUCGGCCACAAGGGGACUGAGACACGGCCCUUACUCAUACGGGAGGCAGCAGUGGGGAAUAUUUGACAAUGGACCAAAGUCUGAUCCAGCAAUUCUGUGUGCAAGAUGAAGUUUUCGGAAUGUAAAGUGAUUUCAGUUGGGAAUCGGUACCAACAGAAGAAGUGACGGCUAAAUACGUGCCAGCAGCCGCGGUAAUUC
This 406-nucleotide ribosomal RNA is filed under the name uncultured bacterium. RNAcentral describes it as "partial 16S ribosomal RNA". It matches the Rfam family "Bacterial small subunit ribosomal RNA", at positions 28 to 526 of the family's 1533-position model. The record is from RNAcentral.